CCAUUUCUUGGGCCACUCUCGCGGCAUAUGGAGGUUCCUAGGCUAGGGGUGGAAUCAGAGCUGUAGCCACCGGCCUAUGCCAGAGCCACAGCAACGCGGGAUCUGAGCCGCAUCUGCAAUCUACACCACAGCUCAUGGCAACGCUGGAUCCUUAACCCACUGAGCAAGGGCAGGGAUCAAACCGGCAACCUCAUGGUUCCUAGUCAGAUUUGUUAACUACUGAGCUAUGACGGGAACUCCUCUCAUGGGGUAUGCUGUGUGAUUGGUUAGGGCAGCAUAUUUAGCUGGUUGAUACUGAUUUGGAAAUGGGGGCAAAACAUUAGAAAGCUAGUCUGAUAUUCUGGGCCAAUUGCUGAAGAGGUUGCGUUUUGGCUUCUUGGGUUGGUUGGAAGGGUUGUGGGUAAGAAUUGAAUCUUCGUAUAGGUCUGGCCAUUGUCUCACUACCCAUAAAGCAAGGAUAUUAUUGAAUCUAGAGGACAAGUUGCCACGUCUGCUUCAGCUUUCCUUCCUUCCUUUCUUCCUUCCUUCCUUCCUUCCUUCCUUCCUUCCUUCCUUCCUUCCUUCCUUUCUUUCUUUCUUUCUUUCUUUCUUUCUUUCUUUCUUUCUUUCUUUCUUUCUUUCUUUUCUUUCUGCACCUGCGGCAUAUGGAGUUUCCCAGGCUAGGGGUCGAAUUGGAGCUGCAGUUGCCAGCCUUCACCACAGCCAUACCAACAUGGGAUCCUAGAUGAGUCUGUGACCUAUAUCACAGCUCACAGCAAUGCGGAAUCAUUAACCCACUGAGUGAGGCCAGGGAUUGAACCUGAGUCCUCACAGAUACCAGUGGGUUCGUUACCAUUGUGCCACAAUGGGAACUCCCUGCUUUCACUUGCUUCUGAAGUUACUCAGCCUCAGUCUCCACUGUGGGUGGUAUUGCUGCAACCUUAGCAAUUCUGAGAGGUCAAAUGUCUAAUAUUCUCUUUUUUCAACUAAAGGUCUCAGCAAGAUGCCAACUGCAGCACAUGAAGUAAUGGAUAGAGGACCUCACCUUUUAACUGCCUGGUUACCAUGGACCAAUGACAUUCUUGGUGGCAUCUGCACCCUGUCCAAAAUAUGCGAAUCUCCCACUUUAUGGGGCAGAACCUUCAUCUUAUCAUAGAAGAUUAAAACACUAAGGACUCACUUUCCAGCCUCCCUUGCAACCAGGGUAUGGCUGUGACCCAGGUUUUGCCAACUGAACACACCUGUAAAAGCCUUAAAUUCCCUCUUUAUGUAGAUGCAAAAAUUCCAUGAUGUAUUCUAUUUCCUAUUAUCUAUACUUUCUGAUAUUUUAUAGUAGGAACCAGAAAAAAUGAGGAGAAACAAGGGAAGGAAGAAAGGAGAAAAAAAGAGUCAGUGGAACUUGACAGAGGUAGGAAAGCAGAACUGGAAGUAGAGAGUGAACAGGAUGUGAAAUAACAGGAGUCAGCUGAGUGAGGUAAGGUAUGUCAAAGAAGUCGUUUUGGGGACAUAACUGUUGUAUUAGAUCUAAAGAAGAUUUGAUUGAUAUCAAAGAGUAGAAACGAUAUUCUGGGUAAAGGAGAAAGAAAAAAAAUAGUAGAAAUUGUGACGUGGUUCACCCUCUUGUUUUCUGCAGGAUCAUACUUAAUCUAUGCUAGCCAAAAUCAUUUCUUUUUUUCUUUUUUAAAAAAGGCAUCCAAAGGAGGAUAAUUAAGACUCCUCAAUUCUAAAAGUUUCAGGACCCACAGAUAUUUGGUUGUCAACAAGAUGAUUUAUGUUUUUCCUAAAGUUCUAAUAUCUAUUGAGAAGUUUUAUCCUCCUUACUCAAAUAUACACCUUUAAAAUUGUCUAUAGUGAUAUCUUCUGUUUAUUUAUGUCCAUUCUUCAAAUUAUACUUUAAUCUGGGUGGGGCAUUUCAUUAAGUGCUAUUUUAUAGCUUACUGUGAAAUGUCAAUCAUUUAUUCAUUAAGCAGUAUAGAUAUGUUGGUAUGAAUAUAUUAAUUCAUAAAAGAAUAACCUAAGUUUAUUGAUACAUUGUUGACAAAUGACUUUAGUACCAUACAUUCUCAGGUUUAGUAAUCACAUAAGUAGGGAUAGAAUAAGAAAAAUAUUGACAGGUCCUAUACACUUACGAAAAGCAAGGAGCUAAAAUACAAACCUGCUCCCAAUAUGGAAGAAAACCACAGUCCUCAAUUCCCCUUUUAACAGUGUUCAUGCUUUUAGAGUUGAGCAUAAUCAAGUUCUAAUGUCUUUUUAACCCACACCUCCCUUCACAUUCUCUCCAUAUGUAAGAUUGGGGUUUCACUGAGUCCAAAGGGACUUGAGAAGCUAGGGAAUGAAAGAACUGCAGUGGGUUAGUACAUUUUCCCUAAAGUUCCAACAUGUGGGUCACACUUUGAAAUUUCAACUGGAAUAAUGUUGAGGAAGAGUUGAUAAAUAAUACGUAUUGAACAAAUGUUACUUUGUUGAGGAACUAUUGUCAUUAUGAUGAUGUAACUUUUCCUCUCUGUAAGAGCAAAUAAAAAAGAACUGUUUAAUUUGUAUGGGGAGAAAUUUAGCUCUUAAUGGAGAAAAUCCUGACACUGAAACAAAGGAAUAAUAGAUAUAACAUUAGAGAUGAUUUGCUAGGCUUUGUCAGUGAAGGUUAUAGUAGGUUGGGAGUAAGGGGGAAAGACUGGAAAUUCUUGCUUGUAUCUACUUAUUAAUUCGGUUCUUUCCAAUCUCUUUGAUGUUAAUUGCAUUAAUCAGAAAAUUAAAUCACAUUGACUAUGGCUACCCAAAUAUAUUUUGGUGUGUAUACAUGUAAGUCAACACCAGUAGUUACAAGGAUGACUUGCAAUGAAGGAAAAAUUCACUCUAAGGAAAAAGCAAAUUAUUAAGAGGAACCAAAAAAUAGGCUUUCUACACUUGCGAGACCGUAUCUGCCUAGAAAUUGAAAUGAAAUUGAUUAAAAUACUCAUUCACAGACACAUAGAAAUUAAAAAAAUUCUUUUAACAUGUCCUAUUAGACUAGAACAAAAUGUGCUUGUAGCUCUGUUGCUACCAUAUUCACUCACUACUAUUAAAUAUUUCAUUUGAUGAUAUCUUAAAAGAAACAAUUGUGUUAGCUUAAAAAAAAAAAAUCUCUGAGGAGUUCUUGUCAUGGUGCAGUGGAAACGAAUCUGGCUAGGAACCAUGAGAUUGCAGGUUUGAUCCCUGGCCUUGCUCAGUGGGUUAAGGAUCUGGCAUUGCCAUGAGCUGUGGUAUAGCUUGCCGACUCGGCCACAUCUGGUGUUGCUGUGGUCUAGGCUGGCAGCUGUGGCUCUAACUAGACCCCUAGCUUGGGAAUCUCCAUACACCCCGGGUGCAGCCCUGAAAAGCCAAAAAAAAAAAAAAAAAAAAUCACUGAGUCAGAAAUUGUGAUUAAGGGUAUGAUUCAGAUUGCCUUUGGAGACUAUUUGGGUCAUCUAAGUUUAUCUAUGAUGGGUAACAUUAAGUUCUAAGACAAAUGUGUUUAUACCUUCAAAAACAGAGGAAACAUUUUCAAAUCUCUAAUAUUUUAAUUUGGUAAAAAAAAUCAUAUUUUAGACUGGUCUUAAGUUUAGCAAAUAAAUGUAAUUUGUUCAAAAUCUUGUUUCAUGGUUCAGUUCUGUUCAAGCCACUCAUAUGCAUGACCUAAAGCUGCAGUGAAAGAAUUACUCUUGCAGAAAAAAAGUCAGAAGGGGAAGAUUUAUCAUGAAUAAUUUAUAUUGAAACAAGAUUAUAAAACUGAUGUGUUAUCUUUAUACUAAUGCUGAGAAAAAUGUAUAAUCAAAGUAAUAAAAAAAACCCUGACCAGUUCAGAGUUAUUAAAACCUGGGAAUACUUAAUAGCAAAUUCCACAUAAACAAAAGGAGCUUCAGGAUCCUAUCCACUUCAGUUGAGCCAAUUUUAAGACUAAUUUGUUUCUGAAGCAAGGCAAAUUGUUUUGAGCAUAUCAGCACUGGAUGGUCACAAUGUGAUCACAAUGUUGUGUUGACUUCAUAGUCCAAUCCUCUUCUGCUCACUUGUCUCUUUUACUUCUUCUCUUCUAAUAUAGUCUUUGAAAGCUUUAUACAGAAAAAAAAUGAGGAGGGCAAUGCAGAGAAAAUGAUUUUCUGAAAUUUCCCUUCAAAAUGGACAUCCAAAAGGGAAGAGAGAAUAUAUGUGAAUACAAUCUAUUAUGAAGGAAGUCAUCACUGAUUAUGAUAAAUACUAUUUUUGAGGACAUGAAAUAAAAGAUGAUGUGAUUAGAUUUCUCUUCCAGUAAUGGCAGGUAUAUUGAAAGGAGCCUAGUAAAUAGACUAUAUAGCCUUAAAAUGUUUUAAAAAUAGUGUUAUAUGUGGUAUUUGUUUAUAUCAUUAUUUUUCUUUUGAAAAGCAUUUUUACUAUAGCUCUUUUUAUAAAUCCUCACAACCACUCUGUGAGUCGGGUGGGCCCUUCCUUUCGGUCUCCUGAGGGUAGAUGGAGAAGUUGGGAUAGGCCCCUGCCAGGGCUGCCGCGGGACAGUGGGGUCCUUCGCAUAUCAGGGCACCAGCCCUCCCCGCUCCCAGCUCGGCUGAUACCGGCCUCUGGGAUCUCACAGUCAGCGAGGGGAGAGGCUGCGGAGAGCGACUGCUCCCCCCGCGGUCCCUCCUCCAACAGCUGAGUCCUGCCCACCUUCUGCAGGGGCGGGGGUGGGGUGGGGUGGCAGCAGUUCUGGGGAGUGUAAGGGUCCGCGAUGAGACGGUGGUCGUGGGCACUGGCUUUGUGGCGUCAGAGUGACUGGGUUUGAAUUUGAAUCUCCAGACCUUUUUUUACGGUGCCUGACUUAAGGCAGUCACUCAAUUUCCUCAUCUGGAGAGAGGACAUCCUUUGAUUUAUCCCAAGGGGUUCACUGACUUAAAAUAGUCAACGAUUUAAAGCAAUGAAGGUCUUAGUCUACUGCCCCUGCCGAAGAAAAUGCUACAAAUAUUAUCAGUUCUGGGAUAGGUAGGUCACUAUCUCUACUACUUUGGGGCAUCUCCAGCUGCAAAAUGGGCGCAAUGUAGAUUGCAGUCUUUUAAUGGCACACAUUACUUUGCCAACAAUCAAACAAACCAGAGAAAAACAAAACCCCUCACCAUCCCUCCUCUCCUUCCUGCUCUGGAGCCACUCAGUUUUGACACUUGUUUCCGGGAUCUGAAGGAGCUGGAUCCUAACCCAAGGAAAUAUUCUUUUUUACGUUUUUAUUUUUUAUUAAAGCCGCGUUGAUCUACAAUUGUGCCAAUAUCCCUGUACAGCAAAGCGACUCAGUCAUAUAUAAAUUCUUUUAAAAAUAUUGUUUUCCAUCACGGUCUACCUCAGGAGAUUGUAUAUCAGUAAACACUGUUAUUAACUAGGAAAACAGAAAAGUGAGA
RNAcentral lists this long non-coding RNA (5351 nucleotides) under Sus scrofa (pig). RNAcentral's name for it is "lncRNA (ENSSSCG00065022276.1)". Lineage: Eukaryota; Metazoa; Chordata; Mammalia; Artiodactyla; Suidae. The record is from RNAcentral.